This 484-nucleotide ribosomal RNA is filed under the name uncultured bacterium. RNAcentral describes it as "partial 16S ribosomal RNA". It matches the Rfam family "Bacterial small subunit ribosomal RNA", at positions 28 to 523 of the family's 1533-position model. The record is from RNAcentral.
GACGAACGCUGGCGGCGUGCUUAACACAUGCAAGUCGAACGAUGAAGCUGGAGCUUGCUCCGGUGGAUUAGUGGCGAACGGGUGAGUAACACGUGAGCAAUCUGCCCUUGACUCUGGAAUAACUGCGGGAAACUGUAGCUAAUACCGGAUACUUUCACUGGAAGGCAUCUUCUGGUGACGAAAGAAUUUCGGUCAAGGAUGAGCUCGCGGCCUAUCAGCUUGUUGGUGAGGUAACGGCUCACCAAGGCGACGACGGGUAGCCGGCCUGAGGGGGUGACCGGCCACACUGGGACUGAGACACGGCCCAGACUCCUACGGGAGGCAGCAGUGGGGAAUAUUGCACAAUGGGCGCAAGCCUGAUGCAGCAACGCCGCGUGAGGGAUGAAGGCCUUCGGGUUGUAAACCUCUUUUAGCAGGGAAGAAGCGAAAGUGACGGUACCUGCAGAAAAAGCACCGGCUAACUACGUGCCAGCCGCCGCAGUAA